AGAAUCAACGCUGGCGGCGUGCCUAACACAUGCAAGUCGCACGAGAAAGGGGACUUCGGUCCCUGAGUACAGUGGCGCACGGGUGAGUAACACGUGAAUCAUCUACCUUCGAGUGGGGAAUAACUGAGAGAAAUCUUAGCUAAUACCGCAUAAUACCUACGGGUCAAAGCAGCAAUGCGCUUGAAGAGGAGUUCGCGGCAGAUUAGCUAGUGGCGGGUAUGGCCCACAAGACGAUGAUCUGUAC
This 244-nucleotide ribosomal RNA is filed under the name uncultured bacterium. RNAcentral describes it as "partial small subunit ribosomal RNA". It matches the Rfam family "Bacterial small subunit ribosomal RNA", at positions 26 to 286 of the family's 1533-position model. The record is from RNAcentral.